UAGGGGGUGGCAGAGCGGAAAUGCGCUGGACUCGAGAUCCAGUGGCCCCUCGGGGCCGCGUGGGUUCAAAUCCCACCCCCGGCGCCA
This 87-nucleotide transfer RNA is filed under the name Candidatus Bathyarchaeota archaeon. RNAcentral describes it as "tRNA-Ser". The stretch from base 4 to 80 matches the Rfam family "tRNA". Rfam says of the family: Transfer RNA (tRNA) molecules are approximately 80 nucleotides in length. Their secondary structure includes four short double-helical elements and three loops (D, anti-codon, and T loops). Lineage: Archaea; Thermoproteati; Candidatus Bathyarchaeota. The record is from RNAcentral.